GACGAACGCUGGCGGCGUGCUUAACACAUGCAUGUCGAACGGAAAGGCCCUGCUUUUGUGGGGUGCUCGAGUGGCGAACGGGUGAGUAACACGUGAGUAACCUGCCCUUGACUUUGGGAUAACCUCAGGAAACUGGGGCUAAUACCGGAUAGGAGCUCCUGCUGCAUGGUGGGGGUUGGAAAGUUUCGGCGGUUGGGGAUGGACUCGCGGCUUAUCAGCUUGUUGGUGGGGUAGUGGCUUACCAAGGCUUUGACGGGUAGCCGGCCUGAGAGGGUGACCGGCCACAUUGGGACUGAGAUACGGCCCAGACUCCUACGGGAGGCAGCAGUGGGGAAUAUUGCACAAUGGGCGGAAGCCUGAUGCAGCAACGCCGCGUGCGGGAUGACGGCCUUCGGGUUGUAAACCGCUUUCGCCUGUGACGAAGCGUGAGUGACGGUAAUGGGUAAAGAAGCACCGGCUAACUACGUGCCAGCAGCCGCGGUGAUACGUAGGGUGCGAGCGUUGUCCGGAUUUAUUGGGCGUAAAGGGCUCGUAGGUGGUUGAUCGCGUCGGAAGUGUAAUCUUGGGGCUUAACCCUGAGCGUGCUUUCGAUACGGGUUGACUUGAGGAAGGUAGGGGAGAAUGGAAUUCCUGGUGGAGCGGUGGAAUGCGCAGAUAUCAGGAGGAACACCAGUGGCGAAGGCGGUUCUCUGGGCCUUUCCUGACGCUGAGGAGCGAAAGCGUGGGGAGCGAACAGGCUUAGAUACCCUGGUAGUCCACGCUGUAAACGGUGGGUACUAGGUGUGGGGUCCAUUCCACGGGUUCCGUGCCGUAGCUAGCGCUUUAAGUACCCCGCCUGGGGAGUACGGCCGCAAGGCUAAAACUCAAAGGAAUUGACGGGGCCCCGCACAAGCGGCGGAGCAUGCGGAUUAAUUCGAUGCAACGCGUAGAACCUUACCUGGGUUUGACAUGGAUCGGGAGUGCUCAGAGAUGGGUGUGCCUCUUUUGGGGUCGGUUCACAGGUGGUGCAUGCCUGUCGUCAGCUCGUGUCGUGAGAUGUUGGGUUAAGUCCCGCAACGAGCGCAACCCUUGUUCACUGUUGCCAGCACGUUAUGGUGGGGACUCAGUGGAGACCGCCGGGGUCAACUCGGAGGAAGGCGGGGAUGACGUCAAGUCCUCAUGCCCCUUAUGUCCAGGGCUUCACGCAUGCUACAAUGGCUGGUACAGAGAGUGGCGAGCCUGUGAGGGUGAGCGAAUCUCGGAAAGCCGGUCUCAGUUCGGAUUGGGGUCUGCAACUCGACCUCAUGAAGUCGGAGUCGCUAGUAAUCGCAGAUCAGCAACGCUGCGGUGAAUACGUUCCCGGGGCU
This 1346-nucleotide ribosomal RNA is filed under the name uncultured bacterium. Its description in RNAcentral is "bacterial SSU rRNA". It matches the Rfam family "Bacterial small subunit ribosomal RNA", at positions 28 to 1381 of the family's 1533-position model. The record is from RNAcentral.